Molecule: ribosomal RNA, 370 nt
Filed under: uncultured organism
Description: bacterial SSU rRNA
Rfam family: Bacterial small subunit ribosomal RNA
Source: RNAcentral
CGUAGGGUGCGAGCGUUAAUCGGAAUUACUGGGCGUAAAGCGUGCGCAGGCGGUUUUGUAAGACAGAUGUGAAAUCCCCGGGCUCAACCUGGGAACUGCCUUUGUGACUGCAUAGCUAGAGUACGGCAGAGGGGGAUGGAAUUCCGCGUGUAGCAGUGAAAUGCGUAGAUAUGCGGAGGAACACCGAUGGCGAAGGCAAUCCCCUGGGCCUGUACUGACGCUCAUGCACGAAAGCGUGGGGAGCAAACAGGAUUAGAUACCCUGGUAGUCCACGCCCUAAACGAUGUCAACUGGUUGUUGGGUCUUCACUGACUCAGUAACGAAGCUAACGCGUGAAGUUGACCGCCCGGGGAGUACGGCCGCAAGGUUA